RNAcentral lists this ribosomal RNA (385 nucleotides) under uncultured bacterium. RNAcentral describes it as "bacterial SSU rRNA". It matches the Rfam family "Bacterial small subunit ribosomal RNA", at positions 29 to 417 of the family's 1533-position model. The record is from RNAcentral.
AUUGAACGCUGGCGGCAUGCCUUACACAUGCAAGUCGAACGGUAGGGGGAGCAAUCCCCUGAGAGUGGCGAACGGGUGAGUAAUGCAUCGGAACGUACCUGGUGGUGGGGGAUAGCCCGGCGAAAGCCGGAUUAAUACCGCAUAAGACCUGAGGGUGAAAGCGGGGGACUCGCAAGAGCCUCGCGCUAUCAGAGCGGCCGAUGUCAGAUUAGCUAGUUGGUGGGGUAAAAGCCUACCAAGGCGACGAUCUGUAGCUGGUCUGAGAGGACGACCAGCCACACUGGGACUGAGACACGGCCCAGACUCCUACGGGAGGCAGCAGUGGGGAAUUUUGGACAAUGGGCGCAAGCCUGAUCCAGCCAUGCCGCGUGCGGGAAGAAGGCCU